GGCGGUGUAGCUCAGAUGGUGAGAGCAUGCGGUUCAUACCCGCAGGGUCAGUGGUUCAAAUCCACUCACCGCCACCA
RNAcentral lists this transfer RNA (77 nucleotides) under Acetomicrobium sp. RNAcentral describes it as "tRNA-Met". It matches the Rfam family "tRNA". From Rfam's summary of the family: Transfer RNA (tRNA) molecules are approximately 80 nucleotides in length. The record is from RNAcentral. Lineage: Bacteria; Thermotogati; Synergistota; Synergistia; Synergistales; Acetomicrobiaceae. RNAcentral also lists the same sequence under 2 other names.